Molecule: ribosomal RNA, 497 nt
Filed under: uncultured bacterium
Lineage: Bacteria
Description: partial 16S ribosomal RNA
Rfam family: Bacterial small subunit ribosomal RNA
Source: RNAcentral
GAUGAACGCUGGCGGCGUGCCUAAUACAUGCAAGUCGAGCGAACAGACGAGGAGCUUUCUCCUCUGACGUUAGCGGCGGACGGGUGAGUAACACGUGGAUAACCUACCUAUAAGACUGGGAUAACAUCGGGAAACCGGAUCUAAUACCGGAUAAUAUAUUGAACCGCAUGGUUCAAUAGUUAAAGACGGUUUUGCUGUCACUUAUAGAUGGAUCCGCGCCGCAUUAGCUAGUUGGUAAGGUAACGGCUUACCAAGGCGACGAUGCGUAGCCGACCUGAGAGGGUGAUCGGCCACACUGGAACUGAGACACGGUCCAGACUCCUACGGGAGGCAGCAGUAGGGAAUCUUCCGCAAUGGGCGAAAGCCUGAUGGAGCAACGCCGCGUGAGUGAUGAAGGUCUUCGGAUCGUAAAACUCUGUUAUUAGGAAAGAACAAAUGCGUAAGUAACUAUGCACGUCUUGACGGUACCUAAACAAUAAGCCACGGCUAACUACGUG